GUGAUUACUUGCAGUCUGAUUUCAGGAACCUUUCAUGGACUUGUUGAAAGCAUUCAAAUCCCUCUGCUAAUCACGUUCACUGUAUUUUACCUGGCCUGUUUUAAAGUAUUGUUUUAUUGUUGUUUAAUGUUGCUGUUACAGUGUUGUUAGAUUUCUCGGCUGUACUGGAUCUUUGAAAGCUUACAGGAUGAAUUGCUAGGUUUCCAGUCUUUAUCUCCCCUUGGAUCUCACCAUCUGUUCCUAUUUGGCAGUGCAGGUAAAUGAAUUUUUUUUCAACUUCCUUUCAUUUGUCCUGUUUCCUGCAGAUAUUUAGCUUGUCUGUUUCCUCUUUCUCCCUUCAUAUAUCAUCAAGAAGGAUUUGGUGGCUGUUACUGAAGUUGAUGAAUCUGACUGAAAUUUCUGUUCUGGGUUGCGUGUUACAGGCGUUGCUAGAGGAGCUUUUGUGGUCAGUCUCAGAUGGAAUGGAAUCCUUCACUCUUUGUAACUUCUGGAUUUCAAAAUCCUAAAAAUUUAAAGGGCACUGAACAAAUCUGGCCAACUUCAAGGUAUGUUCUUCAUGGGCAAUACAUAUUAGCUUCCCUAGGAUAUCUAGGAACUGAUGGUUGACCUGGAUACUUAGUAGUGGGAUCCAGAGUUCCACUGGUUCUUAAGAGAGAAGGAGUCUGGAAGAAAAUGUAAGCGUUUCCAUCAGUUCACUGGGAACUGGAAUUGGUUUCUUUGCUUUGAAAGGAGCCCUUCAGAAUGGCAGUCAAAAUAUAAGGAAUUUCUUAUAACAUCAGAAAAAAAACAACAAAUUUUGAAAAGGUAAUGUCAGCAUUUUAUUUUAAUGGGCAUCAUACAUAUUUCAGGAUUUAUUUAUUUCCUUGUUUUGUAUUUAUCUUGAUCUCCUUGAAAAAAUGCUGGACUUUCCCCUUGGCUAUCCUGAUAUAAAAAUACCAGUUUGAUCCUUUGCCUCACUGGAAGAUGAAAACAGUAUUUGGCCUAGAUAGUAUUAGAGGAAUGUUUCUGACAAAAGGUAGCAGAUAUUAAAAAACUAAAAUCCAAGCACGUCUGCAUAUCCAUACAAUUAUACAUUUCUGGGCUUGUCUGCUACAUGGUGGGGAAGAAAUUGUUGCCAGCUUUUCAAAGUAAAGGAAAAAAUUGAACAACAUGACUAUUUAGCUAUGCAGUCCACUUAAAAUUCCUGUUUCAAAUGGACUUGGAUACAAAUCUGAGCAGAAGAUCAUAGAAUCCAUGGAACCAUAACAGAAUCCUAUUACUCAUACAACAUGAAAAAUUUCUAUUGCUGCUAGAGACAAGGCUGCCAAAAAUUCUGCAGUAAUGCCCUGGUGAAUGCAAGAAUGUUUCAAUAUGUUCAUAGGAUUGCAAUUCAAAGACAAGAGGCAAUUGCUGCAUGCUCCUAAAUAGCUAUCAAUUGACAGAUACACUUAGUUGGUUAAUUAAUUUUUGAUGAAAGACCUACUCAAAAGACUAAAUUCAAAAUGUAAGAACUUGUGCUUGUUUAAAA
RNAcentral lists this long non-coding RNA (1507 nucleotides) under Phasianus colchicus (ring-necked pheasant). Its description in RNAcentral is "lncRNA (ENSPCLG00000002513.1)". Lineage: Eukaryota; Metazoa; Chordata; Aves; Galliformes; Phasianidae. The record is from RNAcentral.